This is a non-coding RNA of Phascolarctos cinereus (koala), 811 nucleotides long. The record is from RefSeq and is a predicted model, not a curated record. Lineage: Eukaryota; Metazoa; Chordata; Mammalia; Diprotodontia; Phascolarctidae.
UAUGUGACCCUGUGAAUAUGAGCAAUAAUUCUUUGCCUCCCUCAGCAGUUAUUAUUUCAUUUUAGGUGGAGAUUAAACACUUGUGAGUUUUAAUACAUCAAGAAAACAAGCAUGGAGAAGUCUGGGAGUCCCUGGAUCUGGCCAGUCUGGGAGUUGAGUCUAUGCUGUAUUUACUACCAGCUAAAUAAAAGUCAAUGGCCCAUGGAGCAAGCAGUGACCUUCAUGAUUCUGCCCAGUGUCUGCGUGCUUGCGUGACAGCUGCUGCCUUUUCGUCUACUUCUGUUGAAAUCUGAGCAUGAGCAAAAUUCUCAUAUUCCUAGAGGAGUCUGCCUGGAGAUUAAACAAGCUAAAAAGAAUGACUGUGAGCUCCACCCUAUCCCCACCCCAGACUGAAUCUGCUGUGUCAACCCAGUGAAGUUCUGGGCCCCAGAUUUCAUAUGCAAGACCUCCCUACACUGCAAGGAAUGCAUGGGUUUCUCUGCGUGAAACUAUGCCUAUAGUUAGCCUAUCCUGUUUGUCAUCUCCACAUACUAGACUUCAUCCAAACUGCUUUUCCCAAGAGAAAGGAAAUUAGAGAUGACUACAAUUUUAUGAGCUUUGAAAGUGUAUGUGAAUGAGCUACACGGAAACCAUGCCAGCUGUAGCUGCCAGUCAAUUCAUCAUUGAGGCCCUGGGGAGGAAUUUGCAAUCCGUGGGGCCCAGCCCAGCUGUGGCUGAGAUAAGGACUCAUCCUGUGGCUACACCACAUUUGGGUGUGAACUUGGAAUUUUGAAAAUGAAUACAGCACAAAGGCAAUUACAGAUCCUUGAGG